UGGGGAAUAUUGGGCAAUGGGGGAAACCCUGACCCAGCAACGCCGCGUGAAGGAAGAAGGCCUUCGGGUUGUAAACAUUCUUUUAUCCACGGGAGCGAAGGACGUGACGGUACCUGGAGAAAAAUGCAACGGCUAACUACGUGCCAGCAGCCGCGGUAAUACGUAGGUUGCGAGCGUUGUCCGGAUUUACUGGGUGUAAAGGGCGUGUAGGCGGAGAAGCAAGUUGGGAGUGAAAUCUAUGGGCUCAACCCAUAAACUGCUCUCAAAACUGUUUCCCUUGAGUAUCGGAGAGGCAAGCGGAAUUCCUAGUGUAGCGGUGAAAUGCGUAGAUAUUAGGAGGAACACCAGUGGCGAAGGCGGCUUGCUGGACGACAACUGACGCUGAGGCGCGAAAGCGUGGGGAGCAAGCAGGAUUAGAUACCC
This 423-nucleotide ribosomal RNA is filed under the name uncultured bacterium. RNAcentral describes it as "bacterial SSU rRNA". It matches the Rfam family "Bacterial small subunit ribosomal RNA", at positions 355 to 787 of the family's 1533-position model. The record is from RNAcentral.